AACACGUGGGUAACGUGCCCUAAAGAGGGGGAUAACUAGCCGAAAGGCUAGCUAAUACCCCAUAUUGCUCCCGGUGAGAGGCCGGAGAGUGAAAACUCAGGUGCUUUAGGAGCGGCCCGCGGUCGAUUAGCUAGUUGGUGAGGUAAUGGCCCACCAAGGCGAUGAUCGAUAGCUGGUCUGAGAGGAUGGUCAGCCACACGGGGACUGAGACACGGCCCCGACUCCUACGGGAGGCAGCAGCUAAGAAUCUUGCGCAAUGGGCGAAAGCCUGACGCAGCAACACCGCGUGAGGGAUGAAGGCCUUCGGGUUGUAAACCUCUUUUACGAGGGAAGAAGUUCUGACGGUACCUCGUGAAUAAGCAACGGCUAACUACGUGCCAGCAGCCGCGGUAAUACGUAGGUUGCAAGCGUUGUCCGGAUUUACUGGGCGUAAAGGGCCCGCAGGCGGCUUGGCAAGUUUUGGGUGAAAUCUCGCGGCUUAACCGAGAGAGGUCUCAGAAAACUGCCAGGCUUGAAGCAGUGAGGGGGAUGCAGAAUUCCCGGUGUAGCGGUGGAAUGCGUAGAUAUCGGGAGGAAUACCAGAGGCGAAGGCGGCAUCCUGGCACUGACUUGACGCUGAGGGGCGAAAGCGUGGGGAGCGAACCGGAUUAGAUACCCGGGUAGUCCACGCCGUAAACGAUGAGUACUAGAUGUCGGGGGUAUCGACCCCCUCGGUGUCGUAGCUAACGCAAUAAGUACUCCGCCUGGGGACUACGGCCGCAAGGCUAAAACUCAAAGGAAUUGACGGGGGCCCGCACAAGCAGCGGAGCGUGUGGUUUAAUUCGAUGGUACGCGAAGAACCUUACCCGGAUUUGACAUGUAUGUAGUACUGAUGUGAAAACUGAUGGACCCUUCGGGGAGCAUACACAGGUGUUGCACGGCCGUCGUCAGCUCGUGCCGUGAGGUGUUGGGUUAAGUCUCGCAACGAGCGCAACCCCCGUCGCCAGUUAUAUUUUUCUGUCGAGACUGCCGGGAAACCCCCGGAGGAAGGAGGGGACGAUGUCAGGUCAGCGUGACCCUUACGUCCGGGGCUACACACACGCUACAAUGGGUGG
RNAcentral lists this ribosomal RNA (1094 nucleotides) under marine metagenome. RNAcentral's name for it is "bacterial SSU rRNA". It matches the Rfam family "Bacterial small subunit ribosomal RNA", at positions 112 to 1237 of the family's 1533-position model. The record is from RNAcentral.